CUGGUAUAAUGUUAUGUAGGGCUUAUGUA
RNAcentral lists this non-coding RNA (29 nucleotides) under Cricetulus griseus (Chinese hamster). Lineage: Eukaryota; Metazoa; Chordata; Mammalia; Rodentia; Cricetidae. The record is from RNAcentral.